GACGAACGCUGGCGGCGUGCUUAACACAUGCAAGUCGUACGGUAAGGCCCUUUCGGGGGUACACGAGUGGCGAACGGGUGAGUAACACGUGAGUAACCUGCCCUUGACUUUGGGAUAACUUCAGGAAACUGGGGCUAAUACCGGAUAGGAGCUCCUGCUGCAUGGUGGGGGUUGGAAAGUUUCGGCGGUUGGGGAUGGACUCGCGGCUUAUCAGCUUGUUGGUGGGGUAGUGGCUUACCAAGGCUUUGACGGGUAGCCGGCCUGAGAGGGUGACCGGCCACAUUGGGACUGAGAUACGGCCCAGACUCCUACGGGAGGCAGCAGUGGGGAAUAUUGCACAAUGGGCGGAAGCCUGAUGCAGCAACGCCGCGUGCGGGAUGACGGCCUUCGGGUUGUAAACCGCCUUCGCCUGUGACGAAGCGUGAGUGACGGUAAUGGGUAAAGAAGCACCGGCUAACUACGUG
RNAcentral lists this ribosomal RNA (464 nucleotides) under uncultured bacterium. RNAcentral's name for it is "partial 16S ribosomal RNA". It matches the Rfam family "Bacterial small subunit ribosomal RNA", at positions 28 to 507 of the family's 1533-position model. The record is from RNAcentral.